AGCGGUAUAGCUUAACAGGUUAGAGCAUCGGUCUUUGAAAUCGAUUGACUACGUUCGAGUCGUAGUGCCGCUGCCA
Molecule: transfer RNA, 76 nt
Filed under: Gammaproteobacteria bacterium
Lineage: Bacteria; Pseudomonadati; Pseudomonadota; Gammaproteobacteria
Also listed under: 1 other name
Description: tRNA-Gln
Rfam family: tRNA
About the family: Transfer RNA (tRNA) molecules are approximately 80 nucleotides in length. Their secondary structure includes four short double-helical elements and three loops (D, anti-codon, and T loops).
Source: RNAcentral